GAUGAACGCUGACAGAAAGCUUAACACAUGCAAGUCUACUUGAAUUUGGUCUUAGAUUUAGAUUUGGGUGGCGGACGGGUGAGUAACGCGUAAAGAACUUGCCUCACAGUUAGGGACAACAUUUUGGAAACGAACGCUAAUACCUGAUAUUAUGAUUAUACGGCAUCGUAUAAUUAUGAAAGCUAUAUGCGCUGUGAGAGAGCUUUGCGUCCCAUUAGCUAGUUGGAGAGGUAACGGCUCACCAAGGCGAUGAUGGGUAGCCGGCCUGAGAGGGUGAACGGCCACAAGGGGACUGAGACACGGCCCUUACUCCUACGGGAGGCAGCAGUGGGGAAUAUUGGACAAUGGACCAAAAGUCUGAUCCAGCAAUUCUGUGUGCACGAUGACGUUUUUCGGAAUGUAAAGUGCUUUCAGUUGGGAAGAAAAAAAUGACGGUACCAACAGAAGAAGUGACGGCUAAAUACGUGCCAGCAGCCGCGGUAAUACGUAUGUCACAAGCGUUAUCCGGAUUUAUUGGGCGUAAAGCGCGUCUAGGUGGUUAUGUAAGUCUGAUGUGAAAAUGCAGGGCUCAACUCUGUAUUGCGUUGGAAACUGUGUAACUAGAGUACUGGAGAGGUAAGCGGAACUACAAGUGUAGAGGUGAAAUUCGUAGAUAUUUGUAGGAAUGCCGAUGGGGAAGCCAGCUUACUGGACAGAUACUGACGCUAAAGCGCGAAAGCGUGGGUAGCAAACAGG
RNAcentral lists this ribosomal RNA (735 nucleotides) under uncultured Fusobacterium sp. RNAcentral's name for it is "bacterial SSU rRNA". It matches the Rfam family "Bacterial small subunit ribosomal RNA", at positions 28 to 776 of the family's 1533-position model. The record is from RNAcentral. Lineage: Bacteria; Fusobacteriati; Fusobacteriota; Fusobacteriia; Fusobacteriales; Fusobacteriaceae.